GACGAGCCUCACGAACGUUAUUCGGAAUUACUGGGCUUAAAGGGUGCGUAGGCGGCGCGGAGAGUAGGGUGUGAAAUCCCUCGGCUCAACCGAGGAACUGCGCUCUAAACUACCGUGCUCGAGGGAGAUAGAGGUAAGCGGAACUUAGGGUGGAGCGGUGAAAUGCGUUGAUAUCCUAAGGAACACCGGUGGCGAAGGCGGCUUCCUGGACCGACACUGACGCUGAGGCGCGAAAGCUAGGGGAGCAAACGGG
RNAcentral lists this ribosomal RNA (253 nucleotides) under uncultured bacterium. Its description in RNAcentral is "partial 16S ribosomal RNA". It matches the Rfam family "Bacterial small subunit ribosomal RNA", at positions 524 to 776 of the family's 1533-position model. The record is from RNAcentral.